CGGAGCGGGACGCGCGCCGCCCCACGUGACUCGAGCACGCGGGAGGGGGAGCCGAGCGUGCGCCGCCGGCCGGCGGCUUCCGGGAUACAACAAGGUUGUUUGCUUACAACAGCAGAAGUUCGGGAACCACCCAGGUGUCCAUCUCUAGGAGGCGAUCUGCAGAGCUUUGACCACGCUAUCAAACACUGCAGCUGUGUACAAAGCAAAGGUCAUGGAAGUGUCCAUGUGCUGAUGUGGAAAGAUGUCUAUGGCCUGUUUUUAAGCAAAAAAAAAGCAACGUGCAGAACAGCAUACAUGCUUUGUCACCUUUUGGGGUGAUGAGGAGGAGGAAUACUGGCUUGUAUUUACAAAAAAACACUGGUGAAUCCCCAAGAAAUGAGUAAUCGUGGAAACCCAAAGGCAGAGACAAGUGGGGCGAGGGCACAGCCCCUGUGUAUAUCUUUUAGUGACAAAGAAUAAAGAUAAAAACAAUACUUUGGGGAAAAGGAAAUAGAAAGUACACAGAAUUAAGCACUCACAGAGAUGUCUUGUUGGAAAGAACAGGAAAAUGGACGGAGACGUGGAUGAAGGAAGAGGCUUCAAAUUUUACUCCAAUUCAUUUGCAUUGGUAACUGAUGAUUGGUAAUGUGACUCAAGAUAAAAAUAAACCAAACGGGGAGGGGUAGGCGUCUCCCCAAGCAGCCAGAUAGCUCAGUUGGUAAGAGCACUAGCCCUGAAAAACAGGGCUGCGGGUACGUUUCCCACAUGGGCCAGUAAGCUGCGCCCUGUACAGCUAAGAUUGUGAACAACGGCUCCACCUGGAGCUGGGCUGCGGGGAGUGGCCAGCAGUCAGUGUGAGAGUGGGCGUGAGCCGCGGCUGUGAGCAGCAACCACCUCAGCCAGGCAAGGUAUACCAACUGGGCCAGUGAGUGGCGUCCUCCACAACUAGACUGAGAACAACGACUCGGAGGUGGGGGGAAGGAAAAACAAGGUCUCCCCACUUUUCCCAUGCUCUAGGCACCAAGUUCCCUCCUUAUAAGUGACCAAAAUGUCCGCAUUAUCUAUUUCUUGAACAUCCUUCCAGGAAUAUGUUAGGCAUAUGCAAAGGUAUAUUUAUGUGCAUGUAAUUUCCCAUCUUUUUCCUCAAAAGGAGGGAGAACUAUCACAGGCUUCUGCACUUUGUAACUUUCCCUUAAUGUCUUAGGAGAUGGCUCUGCGCCAUCCACGCCUACAGAGUGCCUUCAUUUCCGUGUCUCAUAGUAUCCCGUGCAACACAAGGAGCGUGUUUAUCCAGUCCCCUGGGAGGGACACUGACACCUUUUCCAGUGCUUUCCCAUAUCGAACAACUCGCUAGCACUUCCCAUGGAAGUCCUUUCACACAUGUGCGAGCUUAGCCUCAGGACAAGUCCUGGAACUCCCGGGUCAAAGCAUUUGUGCCUUUGUAAUGUGGAUGGCAGUUGUCAAGUGACCCUCCCAACCAGCUGUGUGCCAACUCAGACCCUGCCGGCGACGUAUGACAGAGCUAUUGCCCACAGCCUUGUAGGGUACACUCCUUGCACCCAUCACCAGUUUCCACAGCUCUCUAGCCAUCAUUCCGGGCACAUCUAGACCUUCAUUUGUCCUUGUUCUCCCACAACUAUUGUCAUAAUCUUUAUAGUCCAUGCACUGAAAUGCACAAAUCUUAGCUAAAUUUUGACAAAUGGCUACACCUACGUAGCACACCC
Molecule: long non-coding RNA, 1703 nt
Organism: Hipposideros armiger (great roundleaf bat)
Lineage: Eukaryota; Metazoa; Chordata; Mammalia; Chiroptera; Hipposideridae
Exons: 2
Source: RefSeq, a predicted model, not a curated record